Molecule: long non-coding RNA, 866 nt
Filed under: Olea europaea subsp. europaea
Lineage: Eukaryota; Viridiplantae; Streptophyta; Magnoliopsida; Lamiales; Oleaceae
Source: RNAcentral
CAAUUAUCUAAAUAAUGGUCAUGAACGAUCUUCAUUUCAACCCACUCCACUCCUUCUCCACCACCACCACAUCCAUGUCCACAUUCACCACCAAGCAACCACAUGGACAUGCACAAUCUAAAAUGUAGUGCACGCUAUCACCAUUGUAUCCCCACCAUCUAUAUCAAUAACCACCACCUCUUCCAAUCCACUACCUCUACUACACCACCACCUUAAAUCCACAACCCACACCCUUCCAUCAACAACAAAGUCAUCCAAAUUUGCAAAGUUAGGAUGGACCACCACUAACACACCCAUUAUCUAUAUCAAUAACCACCACCUCUUCUAAUCCACUGCCUCUACUACACCACCACCUUAAAUCCACAACCCACACCCUUCCAUCAACAACAAAGUCGUCCAAAUUUACAAAGUUAGGGUGGACCACCACUAGCACACCCAUUACACCACUAAUGGGAGGCACGAUUCAGUAAAUUUAGGGCUGAAUGUUGAAGAUGGAAAGCCAAAGAGGGGCAACGGAGUCGAUGCAACUACUCCAAUCACGGGAUGGCGAUGGCGAUGACAAUGAUGACGACCAUUGAAGGGAUUCAAUCAAAGGUUUGAUGGUGGCUGAAAUUUGUGGAAAUGCUACAACUUCAUAGACUACAGCUCCCUUAUGGUUUCCUUAUAGUGGUGGCGUUUGUGACUGUUAUGGAUUGACGACGACGUUGGUAGAUUGGAGGUGGUGGGAUUGUAGGGUAGGUAAUUCCAUCCUUGGCAAUGGGCGAAAUUGGUGGUUUGGGCGAUGGUUCUAGUGCAGGCGAUAGGUAACAAUGGGCAUUGUUGACGUAGGCACUAGUUGGCGAUGGGCUCUCGAUAGUGUGGCUUUG